ACCUGGGUGGCUCAGUCGGUUGGGCAUCUGACUUUGACUCAGGUCAUGAUCUCGCAGUCCGUGGGUUCAAGCCCCACAUCAGGCU
This 85-nucleotide transfer RNA is filed under the name Felis catus (domestic cat). It matches the Rfam family "tRNA". From Rfam's summary of the family: Transfer RNA (tRNA) molecules are approximately 80 nucleotides in length. Their secondary structure includes four short double-helical elements and three loops (D, anti-codon, and T loops). The record is from Rfam by way of RNAcentral. Lineage: Eukaryota; Metazoa; Chordata; Mammalia; Carnivora; Felidae. RNAcentral also lists the same sequence under 1 other name.